RNAcentral lists this ribosomal RNA (460 nucleotides) under uncultured bacterium. Its description in RNAcentral is "partial 16S ribosomal RNA". It matches the Rfam family "Bacterial small subunit ribosomal RNA", at positions 338 to 795 of the family's 1533-position model. The record is from RNAcentral.
CCUACGGGUGGCAGCAGUGAGGAAUAUUGGUCAAUGGACGCAAGUCUGAACCAGCCAUGCCGCGUGCAGGAAGACGGCUCUAUGAGUUGUAAACUGCUUUUGUACGAGGGUAAACGCAGAUACGCGUAUCUGUCUGAAAGUAUCGUACGAAUAAGGAUCGGCUAACUCCGUGCCAGUAGCCGCGGUAAUACGGAGGAUUCAAGCGUUAUCCGGAUUUAUUGGGUUUAAAGGGUGCGUAGGCGGUCGGAUAAGUUAGAGGUGAGAUCCCGGGGCUCAACUUCGGAAUUGCCUCUGAUACUGUACGGCUAGAGAGUAGUUGCGGUAGGCGGAAUGUAUGGUGUAGCGGUGAAAUGCUUAGAGAUCAUACAGAACACCGAUUGCGAAGGCAGCUUACCAGGCUACUUCUGACGUUGAGGCACGAAAGCGUGGGGAGCAAACAGGAUUAGAUACCCUGGUAGUC